CCUACGGGAGGCUGCAGUGAGGAAUAUUGGUCAAUGGGCGGGAGCCUGAACCAGCCAAGUCGCGUGAGGGAAGACGGUCCUAUGGAUUGUAAACUGCUUUUGUACAAGGGUAAACCUGAAUACGUGUAUUCAGCUGAAAGUACUGUACGAAUAAGGAUCGGCUAACUCCGUGCCAGCAGCCGCGGUAAUACGGAGGAUGCGAGCGUUAUCCGGAUUUAUUGGGUUUAAAGGGUGCGUAGGCGGAUCGUUAAGUCAGUGGUCAAAUUGAGGGGCUCAACCCCUUCCCGCCAUUGAAACUGGCGCUCUUGAGUGGAAGAGAAGUAUGCGGAAUGCGUGGUGUAGCGGUGAAAUGCAUAGAUAUCACGCAGAACCCCGAUUGCGAAGGCAGCAUGCCGGCUUCCGACUGACGCUGAAGCACGAAAGCGUGGGGAUCGAACAGGAUUAGAUACCCUUGUAGUC
RNAcentral lists this ribosomal RNA (459 nucleotides) under uncultured bacterium. RNAcentral's name for it is "partial 16S ribosomal RNA". It matches the Rfam family "Bacterial small subunit ribosomal RNA", at positions 338 to 795 of the family's 1533-position model. The record is from RNAcentral.